UGGGGAAUAUUGCACAAUGGGCGAAAGCCUGAUGCAGCAACGCCGCGUGAGUGAUGAAGGCCUUCGGGUUGUAAAGCUCUGUCUUUUGGGACGAUAAUGACGGUACCAAAGGAGGAAGCCACGGCUAACUACGUGCCAGCAGCCGCGGUAAUACGUAGGUGGCAAGCGUUGUCCGGAUUUACUGGGCGUAAAGGAUGCGUAGGCGGAUUUUUAAGUGAGAUGUGAAAACCCUAAGCUUAACUUGGGGACUGCAUUUCAUACUGGAAAUCUAGAGUGCGGGAGAGGAGAAUGGAAUUCCUAGUGUAGCGGUGAAAUGCGUAGAGAUUAGGAAGAACACCAGUGGCGAAGGCGAUUCUCUGGACCAUAACUGACGCUGAGGCAUGAAAGCGUGGGUAGCAAACAGGAUUAGAUACCCUGGUAGUCCACGCCGUAAACGAUGAGUACUAGGUGUAGGAGGUAUCGACCCCUUCUGUGCCGCAGUUAACACAAUAAGUACUCCGCCUGGGAAGUACGAUCGCAAGAUUAAAACUCAAAGGAAUUGACGGGGUCAUAGCUGUUUUCCU
RNAcentral lists this ribosomal RNA (563 nucleotides) under uncultured bacterium. RNAcentral describes it as "partial 16S ribosomal RNA". It matches the Rfam family "Bacterial small subunit ribosomal RNA", at positions 355 to 1375 of the family's 1533-position model. The record is from RNAcentral.